AAGUCGUAACAAGGUUUCCGUAGGUGAACCUGCGGAAGGAUCAUUAACACGUAUCCAACGUUAAACCCCCCCUGUGAACUUUUAGCACUGCUCUUGCAGCCCGUCUUCCUCCAGCAAUCCCUAGUAAAUCAUGGCGAACAGUUUGAUUUAGGGACUUCUGAGUCACGAGAAAUUACAGUUGCAAUUGUAGCGGUAGUGCAAGCAAUCUCAGCUUCUCCUGGGUCCUUUGGUGAAUUGUAAAGUGUCAUCAGAGAUCGCCGACGAGAAGGCCCUACGGCUUCACUGGAGGACAUCACGUCCGGUGACUAGAUGCUCGGGUCCCCAUGCCCCCUUACAACCCCAUGUCUCGCAGCCGGGUCGCGAUAAUACGCUUGACCUAAAAAUAAAAACCGAACAACUGUUAACAAUGGAUAUCUUGGUUCUC
RNAcentral lists this unclassified non-coding RNA (424 nucleotides) under fungal sp. RNAcentral describes it as "partial internal transcribed spacer region". The stretch from base 1 to 46 matches the Rfam family "Eukaryotic small subunit ribosomal RNA", at positions 1786 to 1831 of the family's 1831-position model. Lineage: Eukaryota; Fungi. The record is from RNAcentral.